This is a long non-coding RNA of Carassius gibelio (silver crucian carp), 2414 nucleotides long. RefSeq lists it as uncharacterized. The transcript has 2 exons. NCBI's taxonomy places the organism in Eukaryota, Metazoa, Chordata, Actinopteri, Cypriniformes, Cyprinidae. The record is from RefSeq and is a predicted model, not a curated record.
AUAUAUUCAAAGAAAAGGCUCUGAAAAAUUUAAAAAUUCAAAAAUAAACAGAGGGGAGGAGCCUAGGCCCUGCUUGUAUAUAGGAGCCUAAAUGGUGUUUAGAAAUAAAAUUUUUGGGUCUGUGAAGAUAGUAUCACAAAAAAAGUUGUACACUAAAACAAAAAGAGUAAACUUAUAAGAGUGUAAGGGAAGAUGAAAGAGUGCUUAAAUUCAAAAAAUGCACUUUAAAGAUGCUUGAUAUAUUCAAAGAAAAGGCUCUGAAAAUUUAAAAAAUUACAAAAUAAACAGAGGGGAGGAGCUUUUAAUUCUAAAAAAUUAAAUUGAGCUCAGAGAAGAAAACAUUUAUUUUACACAAGUCAUGCCUGAAGAAGACACAGAAAGCUGUCGAAACGUCGCGAUAAAAGGCUUGUGUACUUGUAUAUAGUUUAAAAUCUCAUAUUUUAGGCAAAAACAAAUAGUUUAAAGUUAAUGAUGGAUUCUGUUAUUACAAACACACAGCUUUUAUUCAAAGAAAACGCUCUGAAAAAUUUAAAAAUUCAAAAAUAAACAAAUUGGCCUCGGCCUUCGAGGUGGCCUCUUCCUGGGCAGAGAAAAAUUAUGGGGGCAAAGUGAACGCAGUGAACCCUCCCCGGGCAUGGCAGCAUAAAUAAACAGAGGGGAGGAGCCUAGGCCCUAAAUGCCUAGGAGACUAAAUGGUGUUUAGAAAUAAAAUUUACAAAUUAAAUUGAGCUCAGUGAAGAAAAUAUGUAUUUUACACAAGUCAUGCCUGAAGAAGACACAGAAGGUUGUCGAAACGUCGCGAUAAAAGGCUUGUGUACUUGUAUAUAGUUUAAAAUCUUCACAGACCCAAAAAUUAAAAAAAAUUAAAUUGAGCUCAGGGAAGAAAACAUCUCCAUCUGAAAAAAAUAAAAAAAGAUACAACUCAGACACACACACACACACAAAGACACACAUAUAUAUGCACAAACAUUUUGUUGCAGAUAUAGGUAUUUGAAAUAAGUGAUAGGUGACAAUAAACUUAUUGCAAGUCUUCUCUUUUUUAGAGUUUAGAUGUCAUUUUCAGGUUAAACUGUAAUCAUAAUGUGGCAAAAUUGUAAAAACUGAUACAUCUGUAUGAUCAAAAUGGAAAACAUCAAAUCAAUGAGAUUUAAAAUGUUAUAACAGUUAAUUUAUUAAUGUUUUGCCAUGAAUUCAUAAAAACUGUACUAGAUGAAUGAGCCCAUUAGUGGUCUUCCGCUGCCAUCUAGUGGUUAUAAAUUGCAUUUACUCAAACAACACUGUGUUUUUAAACAUAACUGUUAAAGUGUUGUUGUUAUUUUUUUUUGCCCUAUCUCUCUUAAAUUUUGCAUGCUUGUUUAGAAUGAAAUUAUGCAUUACUUUACACAGUUUUGAUAAUUUGUGGGAUUUCUAUUUGUAUUAAUAGGCCUUUGUGCCUCUGGGGUGGUCUCGGCCAACCAGGAUGUAUGGAUGACAUUUAAACACAUCCAAAAGACAGACACACACACACACUGAAAAUAAAUGAUUAAACAAGUUUUUAAGAGUUUAGAUGUCAUUCAGGUUUCACUGUAAUCACAAUGUGGCAAAAUUGUAAAAAAUGAUGUGUAUGUAUGAACAAAAUGGAAAACAUUGAUUCAAUGAGAUGUAAAAUGUUAUAACACUUCUGCAAACAGAGGCUCAGAAACCCCAGGCUGGCGAAAAGAGGUCAACAAACCAUCAGCUGACUUUUACUCAUAUUUAUUAAGAAUUAUUAUUUGUGUUUAAAUGUUCUCUAUAUUAGACACAUACAUAGAGGUCCAAACAUCCCCCACAUUGCUGACAAGGGGACACACUGAGGGCAAGAUAGUAACACAAAAAAAGUGUACACUAAAACAAAAAAGUAAACUUAUAAGAGUGUAAGGGAAGAUGAAAGAGUGCUAAAAUUCAAAAAAUGCACUUUAAAGAUGCUUGAUAUAUUCAAAGAAAAGGCUCUGAAAAUUUUAAAAAUUACAAAAUAAACAGAGGGGAGGAGCUUUUAAUUCUAAAAAAUUAAAUUGAGCUCAGAGAAGAAAACAUUUAUUUUACACAAGUCAUGCCUGAAGAAGACACAGAAAGCUGUCGAAACGUCGCGAUAAAAGGCUUGUGUACUUGUAUAUACACUGUAAAAAAGAAUUUGUUGAAUCAACUAAAAAUAUUUUGUUACCCCGCUGCCUAAAUUUUUUUUGUUAUCUUGACAAAAAAAAUCUUGUUGAAACAACUUCAAAUUAGAGUGGAGUUAGUCCAGGUAACAAAUUUCUUUAAGUUGACUUGACUAUUAUUUUCUAGUCCAGUCAACUAAAUCAUGUUGUGUCAACAGGGAUUUUUUUUUUUUACUUCGAUCAAUAAUCAUAAACAAAUGUUACCCCACUGCCUUAAAUGUUUAAAUAAAGAUGACAAAA